GAUGAAGAACGUAGCGAAAUGCGAUAAGUAAUGUGAAUUGCAGAAUCCAGUGAAUCAUCGAAUCUUUGAACGCACAUUGCGCCCGCCAGCAUUCUGGCGGGCAUGCCUGUUCGAGCGUCAUAUCAACCCUCGACCUCCCCUUGGGGAGGUCGGCGUUGGGGACCGGCAGCACACCGCCGGCCCUGAAAUGGAGUGGCGGCCCGUCUGCGGCGACCUCUGCGUAGUAAUACAGCUCGCACCGGAACCCCGACGCGGCCACGCCGUAAAACACCCAACUUCUGAACGUUGACCUCGAAUCAGGUAGGACUACCCGCUGAACUUAAGCAUAUCAAUAAGCGGAGGA
This 343-nucleotide unclassified non-coding RNA is filed under the name soil metagenome. Its description in RNAcentral is "partial contains 5.8S ribosomal RNA, internal transcribed spacer 2, and large subunit ribosomal RNA". The stretch from base 1 to 120 matches the Rfam family "5.8S ribosomal RNA", at positions 35 to 154 of the family's 154-position model. The record is from RNAcentral.